AAUCAACGCUGGCGGCGUGCCUCAGACAUGCAAGUCGAACGCGAAAGUUCCCUUCGGGGGGCAAGUAGAGUGGCGCACGGGUGAGUAACACGUAGGUAAUCUACCUUUGGGUGGGGAAUAACAGCCGGAAACGGCUGCUAAUACCGCAUAAUGCAGCGGCUCGACAUCGAGACAGUUAGUUAAAGCGGGGGAUCGCAAGACCUCGCGCCUAAAGAGGAGCCUGCGGCGGAUUAGCUUGUUGGUGAGGUAAUGGCUCACCAAGCAUCGAUCCGUAGCCGGCCUGAGAGGGC
RNAcentral lists this ribosomal RNA (290 nucleotides) under uncultured bacterium. RNAcentral's name for it is "partial 16S ribosomal RNA". It matches the Rfam family "Bacterial small subunit ribosomal RNA", at positions 32 to 301 of the family's 1533-position model. The record is from RNAcentral.